RNAcentral lists this ribosomal RNA (326 nucleotides) under uncultured bacterium. Its description in RNAcentral is "bacterial SSU rRNA". It matches the Rfam family "Bacterial small subunit ribosomal RNA", at positions 28 to 346 of the family's 1533-position model. The record is from RNAcentral.
GACGAACGCUGGCGGCGUGCUUAACACAUGCAAGUCGAGCGGGGAUAGUAAGAAGCUUGCUUUGAACUAUUCUAGCGGCGGACGGGUGAGUAACGCGUGAGCAACCUCUCCUCUACUGGGGAAUAACACAGGGAAACUUGUACUAAUACCGCAUAAGACCACGCUACCGCAUGGUAUAGGGGUCAAANAUUUAUCGGUAGAGGGUGGGCUCGCGUCCGAUUAGGUAGUUGGUGAGGUAACGGCCCACCAAGCCGACGAUCGGUAGCCGACCUGAGAGGGUGGAUCGGCCACAUUGGGACUGAGACACGGCCCAAACUCCUACGGGA